Salvia hispanica is the source of this 2896-nucleotide non-coding RNA. The record is from RefSeq and is a predicted model, not a curated record. Lineage: Eukaryota; Viridiplantae; Streptophyta; Magnoliopsida; Lamiales; Lamiaceae.
GAAUAGCUAUCAAAUUUCUUCUUGUUGUUCUUUCAUGUGUGUUUGUUUCAGGAAAUGCAAAAUUGAGAUGCAUGGAGAGGGAGAGAGAAGCUCUUUUAAGCUUCAAGAAUGGCCUCAUCGAUGAAGAUGGUAUUCUUUCAUCAUGGCAAAGUGACGAAUGCUGCGAAUGGCACGGUGUUGAGUGCAGCAACACCACUGGCCAUGUCAUCACCCUCAAAUGUGAUCAUUGUGGAUUGCAAGGCGAGGUUCGUUCUUCAUUGCUUGAGUUGCAUCAUUUAACUCGUCUUGAUCUCAGUUCGAAUAAUUUUGGAGGCAUUCCAAUCCCAAAAUUCAUUGGUUCCAUGAAACAAUUAGAAUACUUGUCUCUUGGGAGUUGUAACUUACAUGGGAGUAUUCCUCCUCAGUUAGGGAACCUUACCAACCUACGCUCACUUGACCUUCAAGAGAAUGAUUUUGGAGGCACUCCAAUCCCAGAAUUCAUUGGUUUCAUGAAUCAAUUACAAAACUUGUCUCUUUGCUUUUCUAACUUUUCCGGGACUAUUCCUCCUCAGUUAGGUAAUCUUACCAAUCUACUCUCGCUUGACCUUCGUGAGAAUGAUUUUGGAGGUAUUCCAAUACCAGAAUUCAUUGGUUCCAUGAAACAGUUACAAACCUUGUGUCUUUCCAAUUCUAAUUUUUCUGGGAUUAUACCUACUUGUUUAGGGAACCUUACUAAUCUACGCUCACUUGAUCUCUCACAAAACACUUUGAGUUCCAUAGCUCCUUUUACACUUGGUUCUCUAUUUGAAUCACUAGAAUUACUGGACUUGUCUAAUAAUCAAGUCAGUGGAUUGGUGCCACGUGUGAGAGGAUUUCCUUCAUUGACAUAUCUGAAUCUUGGGGGAAAUAACUUUACAGGUUCUAUUCCUCUGAAUAUUGGCCAACUAUCCAUGCUUCAAUAUCUAGAUCUUUCUAAUAAUGAUUUGGAUGGUUUAGUUCCUCUAAGCAUUGGCCAACUAUCCAACCUUCAACGUCUCUAUCUUUCUCAUAAUUCUUUGGAAGGUAUAGUGUCUAAAUUCCACUUUUCCAAGCUUCACAAGUUAGAGGUACUAGAUAUAUCCUUCAAUUCAUUGAUCUUGGAUAUUGCCCCCAAUUGGAGGCCUCCUUUCCAGCUGAGUUAUAUAUCUUUAGGCGGGUGCAAUGUGGGCUCAUAUUUUCCAAAAUGGCUCCAAACUCAGAGGAAUUUGACAUACCUUAAUCUCAAUGAUGCCAAUAUAACAUAUGAAGCCCCAAGGUGGUUGUGGAGUACAUUUCCUCUGUUAAAAGGCUUAUUUCUAUCCCGCAAUCAUUUAAGUGGUACAAUUCCGAAUCUUUCAAACACUUCCAUUUGGUAUACGGAUCUUAGUUACAAUCAAUUCUCAGGUCCUAUACCAUUAUUUCCCCAUGAUCUCUUUGCAAUAAACUUGAGUGGAAAUAAGUUAUCUGCUUCAAUUUCAUCUCUCUGCAACACUCCCCAUUCUGAUCUUGAAUUCUUUGACCUCUCAAAUAAUCAGUUGGCUGGAGAGGUUCCCAAUUGCUGGGAGAAAAUGCCCACCAUGAUGUACCUCAAUCUAGCAAACAACAGUUUUUCGGGCGAAAUUCCCGACUCAUUUGGCUCUUUACCUAACCUCCGUGCACUACAAAUGCAUGGUAAUAAUUUAUCUGGUGAAUUGCCUGAUAGUUUGAGACUUUUCCAAGAAAUGAGUUUACUUGAUUUUGGAGGGAACAAGUUAACCGGAGAGAUCCCCACUUGGAUUGGGCAGAUGUAUAGAAUGGAAUUUCUAAACCUUCGUGGAAAUAAAUUGCAUGGCAGUAUUCCUCCUCAGAUAUGCAAUCUUACUUAUAUUCAAGUUAUUGAUUUGUCGAUAAACAACUUAUCUUCGAUAAUACCAGAUUGCUUCAAUAAUCUCACUUUCUUGGCCAGUACGAAAGUCACCAAUGUUCACUUCCUGAUGGCUAGAACAGGUUUUGGUGAGUAUCCACAAUGGGAGUUUGAGUAUGCAUCAUUUCAGUGGAAAGGUACGGAAUCAGAAUAUAGAAAAAAUCUCAGGCUUCUCAAACUCAUUGAUUUUUCAAGAAAUAGACUGACGGGUAACAUUCCCAGAUCAUUUUCCAAUAUGAGCGGAUUAAAUUCCUUGAAUCUAUCAAGAAAUAGUUUGACAGGGGAUAUAAUUUCAGAUAUUGGUAAAAUGGAGAUGCUAGACUCUCUUGAUCUAUCUCACAACCAACUCUCUGGCGAGAUACCUACAAGUCUGGCACAAAUACACACUCUUGGUGUGCUUGAUUUGUCGAACAACAAUUUGUCCGGGAAAAUUCCAACUGGCACUCAAUUGCAGAGCUUCAAUCCAUCGGCUUAUGCAGAGAAUGAUGGACUAUGUGGCGACCCUCUUCCAAAGUGCUCCGGAGAUAGCAAGCCAUCCACCACAAUUCCGGUGGAAUACAUGAAUGAGAAUGACGUCAGCAUGUUUUCAUUCAUGGAAGAAGUUGGUAUAUCAAUGCCUUUUGGUUUUAUCUUUGGAUUUUCGGGAGUCAUUGGUUCAUUCAUAUUGAAGAAAUCAUGGAGAAUUGCAUUCUUCAAGUUGUAUGAUGUCGCUUGAGACGAAGUUGAGCACUUAUUCCUGGUAAUAUCAACUAUAUUUUCAUGCCCUUAAAUACCUACUUAGGAGUGAAGCUACGCGGUUUAACGUUCAAUCAAGGUCGAACUCAUGGUAAUGGCUGGUGACAUUUCCAAGUUGAUGUAAUUUGGAUUUUCUUUUUCACCUUUUUUUUGUGAAGUGUGUCAAUGUACUUUUACUUUGUUUUAGUUUCUUGCUUUCAUUUGUAAACUCUAUGUUUGGUGUGUAUUUGUUUCUUCUAGAAAUGAAUGUUUAUGUUUUUA